This is a long non-coding RNA of Cervus elaphus (red deer), 258 nucleotides long. RefSeq lists it as uncharacterized. The record is from RefSeq and is a predicted model, not a curated record. The transcript is spliced from 3 exons. Lineage: Eukaryota; Metazoa; Chordata; Mammalia; Artiodactyla; Cervidae.
CGGUCCCGCUGUACCAGUGGCGAGGAGGAGCGAGCUCCCGGGUUUCCUCACGUGGCCAAGCCUGUUACUGGAAGAAAUGCCUGUGGAAGUGACAUAAGUGGUGAACUCUGGCAGCCAUCAUGUGCCUCACAGACCUCUAGCUGCAGCAACUGUUCUACUCAGGAGAAAAUAAAUUGAACUAAGAGUGACUGAGAUUUUAAUAGCUGGAAAUGACUGGAAAGCUGUAGAAAUCUGCUCAGAUAUCCUUAGGAGAUGUUA